CGUUUGUGAGCUGCUGGGUGAAUGUUGGGAAGAACACGUCUCCAGGAGAAAGCUUCGUAGCCACAGAACCAUCUUCCUGGCCAUCUCCAGUGGGAGCCCUGAAAUCUCACCAUCCUUUGAAGAGUGGGAAUGUGUUCCAUGACAGGAAGAUGAGAUGGCAGAUCCAGUGGUCCAGCUGCUAGCAUGGUCAUGGACUUGGGGUAUGGGAAAAAAACAAAACCAAGGGAGCUGACCUCAGCUGCCCCACAGCUAAUCAUCUUUUGAAGGAGACGCUUGAGGGAAAACAGAAACAACAGGAUGGUGCCCAGGCUGUGGCAGGGACUAUGCUUCAGGUGGUCUCUGCCAGAGCUGGCCCUGUCCUAAUGUGCUCCCGUCUUGCACUGGGCAAGACGAAUGACAGAGUAGGCUGUGGACAGAGCCGUGACCAAGCCCUAAGCCUGCCUUAGGGGUCCACCCAGCAAAUAAUCCAGCACCCAAAGAAAGUGUGGCAAGUGCUGUGAUGAAGAAAAUCUGGGCAACUGCAGGGGUACAGAAGGAGGGUGAGUAAUCUACUCUUGGUUGACAGGGGCCUGUGGGGGCGCAGAAAGCUGGUGAUCUUCCCAGCCAUUACAUUACAACAAAACCUCCCGAGGCACCAGACUGAGCUCAAUGCUAAGUGCCUUCACCUCACUUCAUCUAUUUAAAUUCUGCUUAGAUCAUGUUUUUUAACUGUUCUCCUCCGCAUCCUCUGCAUCCUUGAAUGCAACCUCUGUAAAGAGUGUUCCUGGUACAUGCUAGGUACCCACUCUCACCAGCCAGUCCCAGUGCGGUAUGUUCCCUCCAGAGGGUGGCUGUCUGCACACUUGCCACCCUAAGAGUGGACCACAGACCAAGGCCAUCUGGGGACUUAUUAGAAAUGAAGAAUUUUCUACCCCAGACCAGGUGAGUAUUAAGUACUUUAAAGCUAAUUUGUCCAGUUCCAAGAGCCCUAAAUGGCUACUGGGCAUUUGAAACAUGGCUAGUCUGAGCCGAGAGGUACUGUAAAUACGAGAUCCCAGGUUUAGAAGCCAGCACAAAAAAAAAAAAAGGUGAAAUAUCUCAUUAAUAAUUAUUUUUAUAUUGAUUACCUGUCAAAAUGAUAUUUUUAGAUAUUUUGUGUUAAAUCAAAAUAUUAUUAAAAGUCAUUUUAUCUGUUUCUUUUAUUUUCACCAUGGCUACUAGAAAAUUAAAAAUUUCAGAUGAAGCUCACAUCCUGUUUACAUAGGAAAGGGCUGCUUUAACAUGUGAGAAGCACUGGUUUAGGAUAAUGACCAGGAACCAGAGCUGACAAACUAGAGCCUGAAGUUCCCAGUCUGGCCCAGCGCCUGUUUUGGUAAAUAAACUUCCACUGGGACUCGGUCAUGUUCACUCGCUAUGUCUUGCCUGUGAUUGCCUUUGAGCUACAAGAGCAGAUUAAAUAGGUGUGAUAGAAACUGGCCUGUAGAGCCUAAAAUAUCAACCACUUGGCCCUUCUCAGGAAGCAUUUGCUGACCCCUAGUCAGGAGCGUGAGUUCCAGAGAGGGACAGCCUGGCUCCACAUCAGCCCUCCACUGCUUUUCAGUACAUAAGGUUGGGCAAGGGACUUCAUAUCAGUUUCUCAAUUUCUGUAUCUGAGGACAGGGAUAAAAGUACCUAUGUUAUUGAGUUGUUAUAAAGAUUAAAUCAGCUGAUAAUGUGAAAUUCUUUAGAGUGGGCCUUGCACUUAGUAGGUUCUCAAUAAACCUUAGCCUCGUUGUUAUUGCUAGCAAUUAUCACAAGUUAUAACCACACAUUUUUGCUUUGUUAUCUUUUUAUUGUCCUACUAGACAAAAACCCCAGGAGAGCAGGGACAUGUUCUGUCUUGUUCUAGCUGUUUAACUGAGAGCAUGAUAGAAAUUCAAUUAUGUUUUUGUUGAAUGAAUGAGGUCCUGAGGAAAAUAAUCUGACUAAGGCUAUAUGGCAAGUAGCUGGGAAUUGAACCUGGUUCUCUCUGCUCUCCAGAUGCUUAAUCUCUCUUGCUACCCCUAGUGUGGUCUCUGGACCAGCAGCAUCACCUGGGAACUUGUUAGAAAUGCAGACUCUUAGGCACCACCCACCCCAGACAUACUGAAUCAAAAACUAUUUUAAGAUCACCAAGAGAUUCCUUGUUGAAGUUUAGGAUGCACUGCUCUGGGCUAAGACGCUCUGCUUAUUCACAAGUAAUUAAUGUAGCAUCAGUCUUUCCACCAAGCACUCUGUUUGACCCCCUAAUGAUGAUUACUUCUGUUCACCCCACUAAGGCCCAGGGGUGAUGAGGUUCUGCAAUAAAUGUCCCUGUGCUCUGUCAGAAAGUGCUUCCAGGUUUAAACCACUGCUAUGCAGGCACGACCUCUCUGCAUAGAAAUCUGCUUAACAUUCCACACCAGCCUCUGGUGACCAGGCCACAGGCCCAGAGGUGGCAGGGGGCUGAAAAUCCACUCCUAAAUAAUUUUGCUCUGGUGCCUACCACAGUGAAUGGGUUCUUCUCUGCACCUUACACACCAGGGCCUGCCCCACCAAAUAUGCACCCAUCCCUAAAUUUAAUAGUUCAGGUACCUUCAUUUUGAUUCUAUAAAUGAAAGCAAAUCAUCUCCUAUGCAUAUUACAAACCAAUUAAAAUUCUCCCCACACUGACUUUGCUUUGUCUUACUUGUCUCCUGGCCCCAAGGUCCUAUGCUCUUCACCUAACUAUUUUCUUAGAAACGGCCCAUCUUGCGGCAUGUCAGAGGACCAGGGUGCUUAAAAUUAGCCCCAAAUCUUACAAUGGAUUCCCAUUUGUCACAGUAAGAAGUUGCAAAUUGUGGUCGUCAGUUGAACACUUUCAAUUAGGAAAAGACUGAUUAGCAUAAUUCUUAAAGGUCUGAACUCUAAACUCACAGAUGGCCUCUGAGAGGAUUGAUGGCCCAUAAAGGAGAUUAGGAUAAAUCUAAUUAGUUAGGGGGGUGUUCCCAUUUCUGGAGUCAAGUGGUGAGCGAUGGAGAAGUGAUGGAUGGACAGAUGGAUAUAAUGAAGUCCCAUUAACGUCUUUUUGAUUCCCUCUCGCAGUGAUGGAGCACAUUACCCCAUUAAUGGUCCUGUGAGCUAACACAGUCAAAGUUUGGUGCUGUGACCUUGAAAAUGAAUUUCAAUUGCCUGCCUGGCUCUUUGCACAUAUCCAUGGGACUCAAAUGAGCCUGAAAACUCUGGGCCUGCUGUGGAGCCAUCCCUACAGCAGGGGCUGGAAGUCCUCCCUCUGCGGAGGAGCCUUCCUCCUGGCUGGUUUCUAAAAGCACUCAGGCAGAGUCUCACAGCUUUUCUGUCCCCACUGCUCUACAACUUGCAUUUCCUAGGAAAUUAGCUUUUUUUGUAUCCAUUCCAAUGUACUGAUCUGAACUGCUGUUGUUCUUUUCAUUGCCAGUGAUGGCUACAUAUCAUCAUCAUCAUCACAGGCUGAUUAGGGAUCUAACGGUAGAUUCUAAGGAAGAAAAGUGACCAGACAGUGCCCUUUUCUUGAGGGGCUCUGGCUCAGUCAUAGAGCUGUGAGAUAAACCACAAGCUAGGACAUUUCAUGGCUAGGUGCAGGACAAGGGUUGACUGGCUGGACAGCUCAGAGAACAGGGUGGAAACAGCUGUGGUUCAUGCGGGGAAACCAUGGAAAGAGGUGGGACUCCCAUUUCUUCCUGAGCUGACCAGAGUGACCUUAUCAAUCUCUCCUUUCAUCUGCUUUUGAGCCUCUGGUGUCCAGUAUCAUUUAAAAGUAUAAAUCUGAUUAUGUGAUUCCCUCUGGUCUUAACUGGAGCUGACAUUUAUUGAACACUUACUGUGCACUCAGCACUGAUCUCAGCAUACUUCAUAUGUCAUUUCUAUUAGUCUUCAGAAGAGCCUGAUGUGGUAGGUACUAGUAUCAUCUGUCUAUUACUGGUGAAGAAAUGGAGGCAGCAAGAGGGUACCUGGCCCAGUGAGUAACAGAAUUUCUAAACAAAUUUAGGCAUCCUGCCUCCAGAACUCAGAUUCUCCUUUAACUCCUAUUCUUCAGUCUCUGUUCUCCCAUCAUGCGUAGAAUAAAAUCUAACUCCUCUCUGACCUCAUCUUGCACUACCCUCUCCCAUGCUCAUUGCUCGCAUGCUCAUCAUAUUCUAGCCACAGUCUCUAAGUGUGGUCUACUUUAGGCCCUUUUCAUUUGUAGGACCCUCUUUACUUUUCUCCACUCCCCUUCUCAUGCAAGUCAUCUCAGCCAAAGCCAUGACUUUAAAUGCCAUCGCCAUGAGCCCCAAAUAUAUUUCUCGUGUGGGCCCUCUAAUGAGUUCCAGCCACGUACGUUCCUCAGUUUACUUGAUGAUUCCUCUUACAUGUGUAAUGGGCACCUUGUAUUUCUUGUAAACAAAAGAGAACGCCUGCCUUGUAGCACUCAUCCUAUUUCUGUCUUUCCAGUAAAUGUCAAUCACCAUCUAGCUGAUUCCUCAAGCCAAAUACUAGAAAUUCUUAGGCUCUGAGGGUUCAUGGUCAACUCCAUUAACAAAAUCUACCUGCCAGUUUCCAGAACACAAUGCCAAAUGGUCUACUUAUCUCCACCUCACCAUCAUCUCCACCAUAAACCACUGAGAUAACACCUUGAUGCACCCCCUUGCUUGAAUUUUCACCUGCUUUCAACCCAGCCAGAGCGAUCCUUAUAAAAUCUAGAUUACAUUGUUUUCUUGUCUAAGACUCUCCAACUCCAAUCUCAUUCUGGGCCUACCAGACUUUAGGCCACCACCUGCCUCUGUAACCACAUUCUCCUUCUGCCUGCUCACCAGUCAUCCAGGCCUACUGGCCUUUGUUCUGUUUCUUGAACAGGUCAGGCUCAUCCUGGACUAUGGCUUUUGCAAUCACUAUGCACUCUAAUUGGAACACUCUCUGUCCCCAGGUUCUCCAGACUUGUCUCUUAUCCUUAUCAGAU
Sus scrofa (pig) is the source of this 4930-nucleotide non-coding RNA. Lineage: Eukaryota; Metazoa; Chordata; Mammalia; Artiodactyla; Suidae. The record is from RefSeq and is a predicted model, not a curated record.